GAGUCGUUAGCUCAGUUGGUAGAGCAUCUGACUUUUAAUCAGAGGGUCGCUGGUUCGAACCCAGCACGGCUCA
RNAcentral lists this transfer RNA (73 nucleotides) under Listeria monocytogenes. RNAcentral describes it as "tRNA-Lys". It matches the Rfam family "tRNA". From Rfam's summary of the family: Transfer RNA (tRNA) molecules are approximately 80 nucleotides in length. Their secondary structure includes four short double-helical elements and three loops (D, anti-codon, and T loops). Lineage: Bacteria; Bacillati; Bacillota; Bacilli; Caryophanales; Listeriaceae. The record is from RNAcentral. RNAcentral also lists the same sequence under 1 other name.